This is a long non-coding RNA of Anopheles funestus (African malaria mosquito), 2678 nucleotides long. RefSeq lists it as uncharacterized. Lineage: Eukaryota; Metazoa; Arthropoda; Insecta; Diptera; Culicidae. The record is from RefSeq and is a predicted model, not a curated record. The transcript is spliced from 4 exons.
UAUCUUUUUGAAAAACAAAAAAUCGCCUUAGUUAGCAAGAAAAGAAAUUCAAGUACAUCACGCUCUCUGGCACGCUACUUCAAACCAACCUCGUGCUGCUAUGUAUGAAAAGAACCCUCUCUAGUGACCCUUCCCUCUCUGUCAACAACGGUACCACGAAAACGCCCGAAAACGUACACGAAUGCACCUUAAAGUGGACUAAUUACAAGUGUGACAUACAGCUUCACAUGUUUACAAACAAAAUGCGUUGACAUACAGACGAAGGUGCAAAGACUGGGCAUGUAAUCACAAUGCGACCUCCAAGCGAAACACUUGCUAAGCAUCACGCACACAGAUGGAAAAGCUUCCCGCGUUUGUGCGGCUAUCAAGCGAUAAGAAGGUACACACGAAAGGCAUAGUUGUGCGUUCCAGAUUGCAGUACAUUACGAUGUCAGUCCACGAUUUGACGUUUAGUACGGUGAACGUGAUGAGCUAGCAGCUAGUGAUUUAUUUGUUUUUUUUCUCCCGGCUUCUUCCAAGGAAUGAUUUAUUGUAAACUCCAAAUAACUACUCCGAUCCGAUGGGAGAGUGCGUUAAGGCGUGUUGUUAUUGCUGUGCAUCCUGCUACAAUACACCGAUCGGUUGCCUCGGAGGUCUGUGCUGUUUGCUGAUACCAGUGCUCGGAUUGCUAAUCAUUCUGUUGGGGCUAGUGUUUGGGAUGAUCGUAGGACUUGCCUGGCUAGCACAACACCACACCGAACCAGACACUGUUAAACGUAUGCUGGCAAUAUUGGCAAACAGUUCCGCCAGUGAGUCUUUCGGAACGGACGGUCAUGCCAUUGAGGAGUAGAGAAAGUUACGCUACGAUGGACGUGGAGGAGUUCUUAUCAGUCGGUUAUCGCCACGGAGCAAAGGUACAACAAAACCAACACACUUGCUGGAGGUAGUAUGUGCUUGCCGAAUGUUUACAGAUACCCAGUGACAGCUUUUGUGUCGCAUGAUUGAUAUCGGGGUUUAUUAAACUAAUUGUAGAGGAGAAAUUCUUCUUGGAAAUCAAGCAGUAUGAAGCAUCGUAUGAAAUAACUUUGAAGAAAUUUUAAAAGAGUUGUCAUGAGGCCCUCAAAAGCUAGCAAUUCACAACGUUCUCGAAUGGUCAAGGAAAAAGCCUGCGUACUCCCGCAAUGCGUUACGGCAGAUGGCAACUUCAAGAUUAGAUUUCCCAGAUUAUCCGACCAGCACCCGAUACCGCCUUCAUCGUUCAGCAAACACGACCAACGUGUAUAUAGGAUAUAUAGGUCACCAGGUUCCAAAAAUUUCUGCCGGUUCGGUUCGCAAAACGUGAAACAAGCUCCCUGACAACUGCCAUUAUUGCCACGCAACGAAGGAAACGAUAUUCAUUACAACUAGCCUCCUGUAGCGCGUGUGAGUGUUUUGUAAGUGCGUAUCGACUUACACGUCAAUUACCUCAUUCAACAGAUUGGGGUCUUCUGAGUCACCGAGCAGCACAACGAGGAAGGAUUCCCGUCCGGAGCUGGUAAUUGACCUCACACACAGUGGAACCGUGGCAUGUAAAACAUCAACGACGUCUUAAAUCACACGGGAGAUCUUGGACGUAUUAAGCCGAAGGAGACGUGCUUCAAGCCGUCAGCUGGACCGCCAGUUGCAUUAUUAUAUGCGUCAUAAAGAAUUCGCAGUAAUGUUCAGCUGAGAGUUUAAAGGAAGAAACUUAAAAUAAACCUAAUACAUUGAGAAGGAACGUCGUUGUGGACAUAAACUGAGCACGCUCUUGCGGACGUUUUAUGUUGGCUGUGGAUAUGUGAUGUACCUUUAUUUUCACGAUGGUAACACUGUAAUUUGUCGUUAAUUUUAUUGCACCGUAUGGGUAUUGUCGUUUCGGUGCUCGUAAAGUUUAAUAUUGAAUCAAACGUUUACUUUACUUGCACGGUGCUGCUGGAUAAGUCUAUAUUCCCCAAGACUUAUAAGAGCCAAGCAGGAACUGUAGCAUGUUUAACUCCCGCGCGUUAAACUCAAACAAGAUCGUCGUCGUAGCGCUAUAACUGCAAACCUAAAGAUUGCGUAAAAGUGUUGAUGCGGGACUCUUGUAGUGCGCCUACCCGGUUCGUCCCGAAAAGUAGGGUACCCAUUCCCAUUGCCCAAAAAGCGUGAACCACUUCCUAGAACCCAUCACCGGUGGGAAUUAUUGCUCCUUGUUCGAAAUUGCAUCGAACUACGACUACGCGGCUCUGCGUUAUGUGAUCUUCUCCUGCUGCCUUUAUGGCAAGGAAAGUGUUGCUCGAGUGUUGCUCCCCUCAAACUGGGCCCCCGCCGAAACAAAACGUUUAAAAUAGUGCUCCGGGUGAAGGCCCACCAGAAGGCAGAAGCUUCCCACCGCGCGACCAUCGUUAACUGGCGACAUGACACUAAACAACGCUCCCGGUCCCCGGUGGAGACGCGCGCAGACGAAAUGAAUACAUGCUCCAACAAAAUUGGCCACACGCUUGUCCCCUUUCCAUCCCGUCUCUCUGGCCUGUUUGCUCCCGGGCUGCUUCGGGAAAUGCUUCAGACGACGACAAAAAUGGGCCCACACCGUCGAUGGGCUCAUCGUGGUAGAGGAGUUUUGAUGGGAAAAGUAAAAACUCAUCCGAAAAAACAAAAACACUCUCAUACAUACACCACAGCCGACGCUACACAGUGUGGAG